Molecule: ribosomal RNA, 497 nt
Filed under: uncultured bacterium
Lineage: Bacteria
Description: partial 16S ribosomal RNA
Rfam family: Bacterial small subunit ribosomal RNA
Source: RNAcentral
GAUGAACGCUGGCGGUGUGCCUAAUACAUGCAAGUCGAGCGAACAGACGAGGAGCUUACUCCUCUGACGUUAGCGGCGGACGGGUGAGUAACACGUGGAUAACCUACCUAUAAGACUGGGAUAACUUCGGGAAACCGGAGCUAAUACCGGAUAACAUGUUGAACCGCAUGGUUCAACAGUGAAAGACGGUCUUGCUGUCACUUAUAGAUGGAUCCGCGUCGCAUUAGCUAGUUGGUAAGGUAACGGCUUACCAAGGCAACGAUGCGUAGCCGACCUGAGAGGGUGAUCGGCCACACUGGAACUGAGACACGGUCCAGACUCCUACGGGAGGCAGCAGUAGGGAAUCUUCCGCGAUGGGCGAAAGCCUGACGGAGCAACGCCGCGUGAGUGAAGAAGGUCUUCGGAUCGUAAAACUCUGUUAUUAGGGAAGAACAAAUGUGUAAGUAACUAUGCACGUCUUGACGGUACCUAAUCAGAAAGCCACGGCUAACUACGUG